RNAcentral lists this ribosomal RNA (301 nucleotides) under uncultured bacterium. Its description in RNAcentral is "partial 16S ribosomal RNA". It matches the Rfam family "Bacterial small subunit ribosomal RNA", at positions 509 to 807 of the family's 1533-position model. The record is from RNAcentral.
CAGUCGCCGCGGUAAAACGGAGGGAGCUAGCGUUGUUCGGAAUCACUGGGCGUAAAGCGCACGUAGGCGGCUAUUCAAGUCAGGGGUGAAAGCCCGGGGCUCAACCCCGGAACUGCCUUUGAAACUAGAUAGCUUGAAUCUUGGAGAGGCGAGUGGAAUUCCGAGUGUAGAGGUGAAAUUCGUUGAUAUUCGGAAGAACACCAGUGGCGAAGGCGACUCGCUGGACAAGUAUUGACGCUGAGGUGCGAAAGCGUGGGGAGCAAACAGGAUUAGAUACCCCGGUAGUCCCUGUCUCUUAUAC